This 253-nucleotide ribosomal RNA is filed under the name uncultured bacterium. Its description in RNAcentral is "partial 16S ribosomal RNA". It matches the Rfam family "Bacterial small subunit ribosomal RNA", at positions 524 to 776 of the family's 1533-position model. The record is from RNAcentral.
GACAGAGGGUGCAAACGUUGCUCGGAAUUACUGGGCGUAAAGCGCGUGUAGGCGGACCACCAAGUCAGGCGUGAAAUCCCUGGGCUCAACCCAGGAACUGCACCUGAAACUGGCGGUCUUGAGUGGUGGAGAGGGAAGCAGAAUUCCUGGUGUAGAGGUGAAAUUCGUAGAUAUCAGGAGGAACACCGGUGGCGAAGGCGGCUUCCUGGACACUAACUGACGCUGAGACGCGAAAGCGUGGGGAGCAAACAGG